UCUUCUUGCAGAGGCCAGUAAAGAGGCUGUAAAGGCUUUACGCAGCAUGGGGACAUGCUCAGAUGUGCUUUGAGAUCACUCCAGCUCUUAUAUGAAGAAUAGAUUAGACAGGGACAGAGGAAGUGCAGACGCAAGAAGAGCAAGGAGGAGGUGUGAGCAGUGCAAGGGAGGAACCAAAGAUAAACUGCAUUCCAGGGGGAGGGCACGCAGCAGCAGCAGCAGCAGCAGCAGCAGCAGCAGCAGCAGCGGAGCCUGAUCGGAAAAAGGAGCCGGCCACUGGGAGGAAUCCAGAGAGACCUGGGGCCAAUGCCUGGAACAGGAGAUAGGGAGUGGAAAGGAAGCCCAGGACAGCAGGCCACCCUGAGGAAGCAGGCUCAGUCAGAGACUGGGCAGCUCAUCAACAUGCAGAGCUAUUUCAGCUCAUUUAUGAACUCCAGUCCCCACUGAAAACAAUGCUGGAGUUUUCCUGUUUAACAUAAAAUACUGGCAUUGCUGAAGGUGAUACAAGCCUCAUGAUGGGACACUACAGAGAUGUCUUCAAAGACCAAUUAGUAAAAAGCAAAGCGUCCUUAAGAUCAGUCAGUAUCUAUUACAGGCUGGGGAUUGAACCCCAGACCUGUCACAUGCCAGGCAAGUGCUCGAACACUGCACUACAUCUCCAUCCCAGCUGAUAAGGUGAUCGCUCCCUCUCCUGUAUUCCUAUCAUUGUGAGGCCAUUUGCCUGGAAGUCCUCAGCAGAACCGUUUGCAAACAGCACCACAUUCUUGAAGCUCCAGAACUGUGAACUAAACAAACUUCUUUAUAAAACAACCAGCUUCAGGCAUUUUGUAACAGUAACAGGAAACAAAUACACUGUUGCAGGUACUGCCUCUGUGGAUUCGAGUCUGAGAUACAUAGUUACCAAAGAACAACAUAACCAGUGCAAACACAAACUGAAAGAAACCUUAUAGUAGGAGCUGAAUUCGACUUCAAUCAGAACAAGAAAACAGAAAGCUCCCAUAAUAAUGCUGUUAAGACAAAGAAAUACAUCGUGUAAGAAACUCUUCCUCUUAGAGUCAAGAAACACACACUUCUUCUCUCAAAAAGAAUUGGGAAAGGUGCCAAGAAACUUCAAGAAAAAACGAAGUGAACAGGCAUGAAAGCACAUACCUGGAAGUCUGGCAUUCAGGAAGCAAAGGCAGGGGAUCCCGAGUGAACUACAAAGUGAACCACACAGGAGUGUGAGGCUGUUCAGAACCAGACAACAAGAGCCUUCUAAAACCUAACAACAUAAAACUGUACCGCAAGCUUGUAAUUCAAAUAUGAUCAUGUGGCU
Molecule: long non-coding RNA, 1315 nt
Organism: Peromyscus californicus insignis
Lineage: Eukaryota; Metazoa; Chordata; Mammalia; Rodentia; Cricetidae
Exons: 3
Source: RefSeq, a predicted model, not a curated record